RNAcentral lists this ribosomal RNA (759 nucleotides) under uncultured Bacillota bacterium. RNAcentral describes it as "bacterial SSU rRNA". It matches the Rfam family "Bacterial small subunit ribosomal RNA", at positions 56 to 823 of the family's 1533-position model. Lineage: Bacteria; Bacillati; Bacillota. The record is from RNAcentral.
UGCAAGUCGAGCGGGGAUUGAUGAUGUCUUCGGACGGAUUCAAUUCUAGCGGCGGACGGGUGAGUAACGCGUGAGCAAUCUGUCCCAGACAGGGGGAUAACACUUGGAAACAGGUGCUAAUACCGCAUAAGACCACGACACCACAUGGUGAUGGGGUAAAAGAUUUAUUGGUCUGGGGUGAGCUCGCGUCCGAUUAGCUAGUUGGUGAGGUAACGGCCCACCAAGGCGACGAUCGGUAGCCGACCUGAGAGGGUGAUCGGCCACAUUGGAACUGAGACACGGUCCAAACUCCUACGGGAGGCAGCAGUGGGGAAUAUUGGGCAAUGGGCGCAAGCCUGACCCAGCAACGCCGCGUGAGGGAAGAAGGUUUUCGGAUUGUAAACCUCUGUCCUCAAGGAMGAAGGAAGUGACGGUACUUGAGGAGGAAGCCCCGGCUAACUACGUGCCAGCAGCCGCGGUAAUACGUAGGGGGCGAGCGUUGUCCGGAAUGACUGGGCGUAAAGGGCGUGUAGGCGGCCGAUUAAGUCUGGAGUGAAAGUCCUGCUUUCAAGGUGGGAAUUGCUUUGGAGACUGGUUGGCUUGAGUGCGGAAGAGGUAAGUGGAAUUCCCAGUGUAGCGGUGAAAUGCGUAGAGAUUGGGAGGAACACCAGUGGCGAAGGCGACUUACUGGGCCGUAACUGACGCUGAGGCGCGAAAGCGUGGGGAGCGAACAGGAUUAGAUACCCUGGUAGUCCACGCUGUAAACGAGGCCCUAGGUGU